GAGAGGCCAGAUGCGGGUCUUAGAUCCAUUGGUGGGGAUCGUCGAGGAAGGGUCAGAGACUAUUGAAAAUGAAUAUCCACAAAGAUUUGGUAUCACAUGCAUUUAGGACGGAGUUGGAGUAUAGAGCAUUGCAUAAAUAAAGUAUUAUAUUUGUAGUAUUCAUGUUAGUGUGUUAAGAACUUUGUUGUGUUUGUUAUAUCAUCCUGUUUGCUAAAAUUUCACUGUUAUUACAUGUAAAUGUAUUC
This 245-nucleotide long non-coding RNA is filed under the name Lathyrus oleraceus (garden pea). RNAcentral describes it as "Pisum sativum (pea) long non-coding RNA (PSAT_LNC028599)". The record is from RNAcentral. Lineage: Eukaryota; Viridiplantae; Streptophyta; Magnoliopsida; Fabales; Fabaceae.